This is a long non-coding RNA of Lactuca sativa (garden lettuce), 989 nucleotides long. RefSeq lists it as uncharacterized. Lineage: Eukaryota; Viridiplantae; Streptophyta; Magnoliopsida; Asterales; Asteraceae. The record is from RefSeq and is a predicted model, not a curated record.
UUCCCUCUUCCGAUGUAAUUGAUACAUGUCAUUACCACCGCCUUAAAUCCCUCUUUCCACUUCCUGAUCCAUGUCACCACUACCCUCUGUGAAGGCUUCUCUUUAGAACCGUAUGAGAACUGCCAUCACCACCGUCAGCUUGCAUCAUCGAUCUCCGCCAGCUGUAACCAUCAUCGUCACGUCGUCGCUGCCUUCAGGUGAUGUACCAAAUCUCUCAUUCAAUAUGUUCUCCUUCUCGAUUGUUCUAAUUUUAACGCAACAAAUAUUCCACCGCCUUAACAUAGCAUCACCUGACGUUGCGGCUAACAAGCAACCCUAACCUUCAUCGGGUAUCUUCAGCAAUUGGCGACGGCUUCGCAGUUUUGAGGUUUUGGGCGCCAGUUGGACGACGAUGGCGGUUCUAUCGAAUGACGUUGGUCUAAUAAUCUGUUAACGAUGAUGAUCCACACACGGAUUUGAGAUUAUCUGAAACCCGUUGAAGCCACCAUCUUCCUCUGUUGAUUCAUGUCUUUACACCGCCUCACUACCUUCUUCUACUCUACCACCACCUCUUCCGAUCAGAUGCGUUCUAAAUGUUCUUUCAUCCCGAUUAUGAACGAGGUGGAGAAGAAGUUCGGGGAAACAUUCUUCAAAACUGGACCUUUCGUAUUUUGUUUGUUUUGUUCCUCAAGGUUCGUUGUUUCGUCAACUGACUACUGUGCUUGAUUAAUUACUUUCUUUUUUGAAUACUGCUCUGUUUGUUCAAAGCCUAGAUCGAUUGAAUACCUCCUCCAAAAAGGAAAAGAUACCAUACCACGUGUUCGAUGAAAUGCUCAAGAGAAACAUCCUACAAUAUUUUCCAUAUGAAUAAUCCUACGAAUGUUUACAUGAAUCUUUGAGUGAUAUUUCUAUAAAAGUGUAUUUGUAAUGUUUUAUUUUUAAUUUUUAUCACAGCUUUUUAAAAACUUAAUCGUAUAGAAAGGUUUUAGUAGUUCCAACUGAUACACUCU